RNAcentral lists this long non-coding RNA (656 nucleotides) under Capsicum annuum. RNAcentral's name for it is "long non-coding RNA (CANN_LNC005689)". The record is from RNAcentral. Lineage: Eukaryota; Viridiplantae; Streptophyta; Magnoliopsida; Solanales; Solanaceae.
CCACAAGUAAAAAACUAAACUUUUAUAUAAAAAAAAAAAAACCAUGUUACUUAUUGUUUUAGAGUUCUACAUUUGAAAUUUCAUUGAAAAAGAAGUUAAAAUCGAUCUAGAAAUCAUCAAAUUAUCAAAUCUUAACUUUGAUGAAAAACCUCCAAAUUUUUUCUGGAAUUGUUAGUGGGUAAUGAUGAAAAAUUUAAUUAGAGACGUAUCCAAAAAAGAAAUCUUAAAAAAUCACAUUUUGAAUCUCUCUAAAUCAAAGAUCUGAGGCUCUAAGCUUAAAAAAUGAUGAAAAUAAGGACUUAACGAAAAAAGAUUUUUAAUCAAUGUUACUCUAUCCCCUUUUGCGAACACGAGAGACCUAUUGCGAACAUGACCAAAUCUCCGAGAAUGCAAUGACCAAUUGACCUAAAUUGAACUAACCCCUUACCCUUCGCAAAUUUAACUCCAACCACCGCAAACAUGACAACCAUCUGACUCCCUUCUUUGCAAAAGUGACACAAGUUAGGAUAUACUAUUAACCAUGUAGUUUGAGUUAUAGUAUUAUAUUUUCAUCCCAUGUAAAGAUAAUUUACUAUAUUAAUAAAAUCGUUAUUUUAAUAGAUCAUUGUGUUAACAUGUGUGUCCUUUACUUAUGUAGUAGACAAUUUUGUGUAUGG